UCUAACACCCAGUCAAUCAAUGCUCAUGCACACACAUUAAUUCUCCCUUGUGGGGAGAGGCGCUUAGGAGACUGUUUUGGACUUUAGCAUCGGGUAGGGA
Etheostoma cragini (Arkansas darter) is the source of this 100-nucleotide long non-coding RNA. RefSeq lists it as uncharacterized. The transcript has 3 exons. NCBI's taxonomy places the organism in Eukaryota, Metazoa, Chordata, Actinopteri, Perciformes, Percidae. The record is from RefSeq and is a predicted model, not a curated record.